UGCAUUCACUACUGUAAAUCGCUCUGGAUAAGAGCAUCUGCUAAAUGACUUUGC
This is a non-coding RNA of Salmo salar (Atlantic salmon), 54 nucleotides long. Lineage: Eukaryota; Metazoa; Chordata; Actinopteri; Salmoniformes; Salmonidae. The record is from Rfam.